RNAcentral lists this ribosomal RNA (2825 nucleotides) under Klebsiella pneumoniae subsp. pneumoniae. RNAcentral's name for it is "bacterial LSU rRNA". It matches the Rfam family "Bacterial large subunit ribosomal RNA". Lineage: Bacteria; Pseudomonadati; Pseudomonadota; Gammaproteobacteria; Enterobacterales; Enterobacteriaceae. The record is from RNAcentral.
GGGUUGUGAGGUUAAGCGACUAAGCGUACACGGUGGAUGCCCUGGCAGUCAGAGGCGAUGAAGGACGUGCUAAUCUGCGAAAAGCGUCGGUAAGGUGAUAUGAACCGUUAUAGCCGGCGAUGUCCGAAUGGGGAAACCCAGUGCAAUUCGUUGCACUAUCGUUAACUGAAUACAUAGGUUAACGAGGCGAACCGGGGGAACUGAAACAUCUAAGUACCCCGAGGAAAAGAAAUCAACCGAGAUUCCCCCAGUAGCGGCGAGCGAACGGGGAGCAGCCCAGAGUCUGAAUCAGCUUGUGUGUUAGUGGAACGGUCUGGAAAGUCCGACGGUACAGGGUGAUAGUCCCGUACACCAAAAUGCACAGGUUGUGAACUCGAAGAGUAGGGCGGGACACGUGGUAUCCUGUCUGAAUAUGGGGGGACCAUCCUCCAAGGCUAAAUACUCCUGACUGACCGAUAGUGAACCAGUACCGUGAGGGAAAGGCGAAAAGAACCCCGGCGAGGGGAGUGAAAAAGAACCUGAAACCGUGUACGUACAAGCAGUGGGAGCACCUUCGGGUGUGACUGCGUACCUUUUGUAUAAUGGGUCAGCGACUUAUAUUCUGUAGCAAGGUUAACCGUAUAGGGGAGCCGCAGGGAAACCGAGUCUUAACUGGGCGUUAAGUUGCAGGGUAUAGACCCGAAACCCGGUGAUCUAGCCAUGGGCAGGUUGAAGGUUGGGUAACACUAACUGGAGGACCGAACCGACUAAUGUUGAAAAAUUAGCGGAUGACUUGUGGCUGGGGGUGAAAGGCCAAUCAAACCGGGAGAUAGCUGGUUCUCCCCGAAAGCUAUUUAGGUAGCGCCUCGUGAACUCAUCUUCGGGGGUAGAGCACUGUUUCGGCUAGGGGGUCAUCCCGACUUACCAACCCGAUGCAAACUACGAAUACCGAAGAAUGUUAUCACGGGAGACACACGGCGGGUGCUAACGUCCGUCGUGAAGAGGGAAACAACCCAGACCGCCAGCUAAGGUCCCAAAGUCAUGGUUAAGUGGGAAACGAUGUGGGAAGGCACAGACAGCCAGGAUGUUGGCUUAGAAGCAGCCAUCAUUUAAAGAAAGCGUAAUAGCUCACUGGUCGAGUCGGCCUGCGCGGAAGAUGUAACGGGGCUAAACCAUGCACCGAAGCUGCGGCAGCGACACUAUGUGUUGUUGGGUAGGGGAGCGUUCUGUAAGCCUGCGAAGGUGACCUGUGAGGGUUGCUGGAGGUAUCAGAAGUGCGAAUGCUGACAUAAGUAACGAUAAAGCGGGUGAAAAGCCCGCUCGCCGGAAGACCAAGGGUUCCUGUCCAACGUUAAUCGGGGCAGGGUGAGUCGACCCCUAAGGCGAGGCCGAAAGGCGUAGUCGAUGGGAAACAGGUUAAUAUUCCUGUACUUGGUGUUACUGCGAAGGGGGGACGGAGAAGGCUAUGUUAGCCGGGCGACGGUUGUCCCGGUUUAAGCAUGUAGGCUGGUUGUCCAGGCAAAUCCGGAUAAUCAAGGCUGAGGUGUGAUGACGAGGUACUACGGUGCUGAAGUAACAAAUGCCCUGCUUCCAGGAAAAGCCUCUAAGCAUCAGGUAACAUCAAAUCGUACCCCAAACCGACACAGGUGGUCAGGUAGAGAAUACCAAGGCGCUUGAGAGAACUCGGGUGAAGGAACUAGGCAAAAUGGUGCCGUAACUUCGGGAGAAGGCACGCUGGUGUGUAGGUGAAGUCCCUGCGGAUGGAGCUGAGACCAGUCGAAGAUACCAGCUGGCUGCAACUGUUUAUUAAAAACACAGCACUGUGCAAACACGAAAGUGGACGUAUACGGUGUGACGCCUGCCCGGUGCCGGAAGGUUAAUUGAUGGGGUUAUCCGUAAGGAGAAGCUCUUGAUCGAAGCCCCGGUAAACGGCGGCCGUAACUAUAACGGUCCUAAGGUAGCGAAAUUCCUUGUCGGGUAAGUUCCGACCUGCACGAAUGGCGUAAUGAUGGCCAGGCUGUCUCCACCCGAGACUCAGUGAAAUUGAACUCGCUGUGAAGAUGCAGUGUACCCGCGGCAAGACGGAAAGACCCCGUGAACCUUUACUAUAGCUUGACACUGAACAUUGAGCCUUGAUGUGUAGGAUAGGUGGGAGGCUUUGAAGCGUGGACGCCAGUCUGCGUGGAGCCAACCUUGAAAUACCACCCUUUAAUGUUUGAUGUUCUAACGUUGGCCCCUGACCGGGGUUGCGGACAGUGUCUGGUGGGUAGUUUGACUGGGGCGGUCUCCUCCCAAAGCGUAACGGAGGAGCACGAAGGUUAGCUAAUCCUGGUCGGACAUCAGGAGGUUAGUGCAAUGGCAUAAGCUAGCUUGACUGCGAGCGUGACGGCGCGAGCAGGUGCGAAAGCAGGUCAUAGUGAUCCGGUGGUUCUGAAUGGAAGGGCCAUCGCUCAACGGAUAAAAGGUACUCCGGGGAUAACAGGCUGAUACCGCCCAAGAGUUCAUAUCGACGGCGGUGUUUGGCACCUCGAUGUCGGCUCAUCACAUCCUGGGGCUGAAGUAGGUCCCAAGGGUAUGGCUGUUCGCCAUUUAAAGUGGUACGCGAGCUGGGUUUAGAACGUCGUGAGACAGUUCGGUCCCUAUCUGCCGUGGGCGCUGGAGAAUUGAGGGGGGCUGCUCCUAGUACGAGAGGACCGGAGUGGACGCAUCACUGGUGUUCGGGUUGUCAUGCCAAUGGCACUGCCCGGUAGCUAAAUGCGGAAGAGAUAAGUGCUGAAAGCAUCUAAGCACGAAACUUGCCCCGAGAUGAGUUCUCCCUGAGACUUUAAGUCUCCUGAAGGAACGUU